UGUUGUCAACAUCGCUAAUUGCGUGGAGGUCACUGGGGAUGUUUUCACCCAAAACUACAGUAAGAAGUGGUACAAAAUAAAAGGCAGAAUAAUAAAGGAGAAAACAACUAGUGUGUCAGACGAAGAGCACAGUGUAAUCAGAAAACUAACACCAAAGCAGCUGUUUGGACUGAAGUGGAAAGGGGAAGAGAAACAGCGUGGAGCAGCCGGUUCUUACUAUGUGAUGACAAUACUGAAGACUUGAUGCAAGGUAAGCUGAUGGCAGAGGCUGCUGAAAUUGAUUUGAGACGAUUUAAGUAUUAG
Long non-coding RNA from Monopterus albus (swamp eel), 303 nucleotides. RefSeq lists it as uncharacterized. The transcript has 3 exons. The record is from RefSeq and is a predicted model, not a curated record. Lineage: Eukaryota; Metazoa; Chordata; Actinopteri; Synbranchiformes; Synbranchidae.